Molecule: unclassified non-coding RNA, 300 nt
Filed under: Hevea brasiliensis (rubber tree)
Lineage: Eukaryota; Viridiplantae; Streptophyta; Magnoliopsida; Malpighiales; Euphorbiaceae
Source: RNAcentral
AACAAAGAGUGCAAAGUUGGUCACUGAGGGCUAGUUUCUGGGAAUCCAUCAGAUCUGGCUUCCUAAAGAAUAACACAACACAGGUUAUCGAGCCACCAUCAACAGUAGAAGAGGAAGAAUCCUUACCAGAAGAGAUAGUGCUUCUUGAAAGAACUCGGCCGGAUGGGACAUUCGAGCAGAUAAUAUUUUCUACAGCUGGUGAUGUUGAUGUCUAUGACCUCCAAGCUCUUUGUGAUAAGGUUGGUUGGCCUCGGAGACCACUAACAAAAGUGGCGGCAUCAUUAAAAAAUAGCUAUCUGG